AGUGAACGCUGGCGGUAGGCCUAACACAUGCAAGUCGAACGGCAGCACAGUAAGAGCUUGCUCUUACGGGUGGCGAGUGGCGGACGGGUGAGGAAUACAUCGGAAUCUACUUUUUCGUGGGGGAUAACGUAGGGAAACUUACGCUAAUACCGCAUACGACCUACGGGUGAAAGCAGGGGAUCUUCGGACCUUGCGCGAUUGAAUGAGCCGAUGUCGGAUUAGCUAGUUGGCGGGGUAAAGGCCCACCAAGGCGACGAUCCGUAGCUGGUCUGAGAGGAUGAUCAGCCACACUGGAACUGAGACACGGUCCAGACUCCUACGGGAGGCAGCAGUGGGGAAUAUUGGACGAUGGGCGAAAGCCUGAUCCAGCCAUACCGCGUGGGUGAAGAAGGCCUUCGGGUUGUAAAGCCCUUUUGUUGGGAAAGAAAAGCAGCAGGUUAAUACCCCGCUGUUCUGACGGUACCCAAAGAAUAAGCACCGGCUAACUUCGU
RNAcentral lists this ribosomal RNA (491 nucleotides) under uncultured bacterium. Its description in RNAcentral is "partial 16S ribosomal RNA". It matches the Rfam family "Bacterial small subunit ribosomal RNA", at positions 29 to 506 of the family's 1533-position model. The record is from RNAcentral.